Molecule: unclassified non-coding RNA, 2859 nt
Filed under: Thrips palmi
Lineage: Eukaryota; Metazoa; Arthropoda; Insecta; Thysanoptera; Thripidae
Description: tyrosine-protein phosphatase non-receptor type 11, transcript variant X1
Source: RNAcentral
UUCUUACCGAUGCUGUUUCCACAGCAUAUCCUGCAUGAUACACGCCGCUGAAUGCGGUAUUCCGUCUCCGUCUGUCACAUUUAUGUCACAUUUCCCAAAAACUCUCCCAAAAAAAAUUAGAACUACCCUUUAUUGAUUUUCUGGUAAAAUUUUCAGGGCGCUGGUACUCUGUUUGAUUUUACCCGCGUCACUUCUCUCGCUUAAGCUUAAUCCGACUUUGUUGUGGCCGCGACUCUCGGAAAAGUUGAGGUAGGGCAGGUAGCUAGCAGACGCCCGUGGUUUGUGGUGUGUCUGUCCCUGCGUGUUGGCAAAGCAAAGGGAAAAUGGAUGGCAACUAGGCUUGUGCUCGCGUUCGGUCACGAGAUGUCUUUUUAUGAAUUUUCAAUCAACAUCCGCUUGAAUGAUUCGGAAGAUUCUCCACGGACUUCUUGACAAGAGGGCUCACCUCGAGAGCGGGAGGGAGGACAACAAGAUCCAAGACCUUUCUCAGAACAGUCCUGAAGGACCCAGCAUGUAUGGCUGUUCGACAGGACGACGGGCUCGAGGAUGGUUCCACCCCAACAUCAGCGGCGUGGACGCCGAGGUGCUGCUCAUGGAGCGCGGCCGCGACGGCUCGUUCCUGGCGAGGCCGAGCCGCUCCACGGCGGGGGACUUCACGCUCUCCGUCAGGCGGAACGGCGACGUGACGCACAUCAAGAUCCAGAACACGGGCGACUUCUACGACCUGUACGGCGGCGAGAAGUUCGCCACCCUGUCCGAGCUCGUCCAGUACCACAUGGAGAACCACCUGCGCGAGAAGAACGGCGACGUGAUCGAGCUCAAGUACCCCCUCAACUCGGCCGACCCCACCACGGAACGGUGGUUCCACGGACAUCUCUCGGGCAAGGAUGCAGAGAAGUUGAUCUUGGACAAGGGCAAGAACGGCAGUUUUCUGGUCAGGGAGAGUCAAAGCAAACCUGGAGAUUACGUCUUGUCCGUGCGAACUGACGACAAAGUGACUCAUGUCAUGAUUCGGUGUCAUGAGAGAUUUUAUGAUGUGGGGGGUGGCAUGAAGUUUGACAGCUUAAGUGAAUUAAUUGAAUACUACAAAAAGAAUCCUAUGGUGGAGACAAGUGGUACAGUUGUUCAUCUCAAGCAGCCAUUCAACGCCACUCGCAUCAAUGCUUCUGGUAUCGAUAGCAGAGUAAAAGAGCUACAGAAAGAGAAUGGACUCUCCAUGGGGAAAGCUGGCUUUUGGGAGGAGUUCGAGUCAUUACAACAGCAGGAGUGCCGCCACUUAUUUUCACGGAAAGAAGGUCAAAAGGCAGAAAAUAGGAACAAAAACCGCUACAAAAACAUUCUUCCUUUUGACCACACAAGAGUAAAGCUAAAAAAUAUUGACCCCAAUGAACCUGGAGCUGAAUAUGUUAAUGCCAAUUACAUUAAACCUGAAGAAGAAACAUUGCCAAAUGGACCACCGAAACAUUAUAUUGCUACUCAAGGUUGUUUACCUAGUACCAUGGGCGAUUUUUGGCACAUGGUAUGGCAAGAAAAUACUCGAGUUAUUGUUAUGACGACAAAAGAAGUUGAAAGAGGAAAGAACAAAUGUGCAAGGUACUGGCCUGAGGAAGGGCAGUCAAAAGAAUACAAAAAAACUAAAGUUAAAAAUAUAUUAGAGUCAAAAACUGCAGAUUACACACUGAGGGAAUUUUCUGUGUCAAUGGAAGGUUCUGAUGAAGAACGGAAAGUUUAUCACUACCAUUUCCAGGCCUGGCCUGACCAUGGUGUCCCCGCGGACCCCGGCUGUGUGCUGAAUUUCCUUCAUGAUGUAAAUGCCAGACAAGAGUCCAUUGUUGGUGCUGGCCCAGUCUUGGUGCAUUGCAGCGCAGGCAUUGGAAGGACUGGCACAUUUAUUGUUAUUGACAUGAUCCUCGAUCAAAUUAAGAGAUUAGGUUUAGACUGUGAAAUAGACAUUCAGAGAACGAUUCAGAUGGUACGAUCUCAGAGGUCCGGAAUGGUUCAGACAGAAGCACAGUACAAAUUCGUGUAUCUUGCAGUGCAGCACCAUAUUGAGACAGCAUCACAUAGAAAACAAGCCGAACAGAAAAGUCUGCAGCUGGGCCGCGAGUACACCAACAUCCGCUACUCCAGCGAGGUGGUGACGCCCGCCUCGCAGAACGCCACCACGCUGGCGAGCACGCUGUCCGACGCCAGCCUGUCCCGCUCCACCACGUCCAUCCCCGGCGCCACCGCCACGGCCACGGCAGCCUCCUUGGCCUCGCUGGCCUCGGGCGGCAGCGUCGUGGGGGUGUCGAGCGGCACACUCCUCCGCAGCGUGUCGAGCUCGGCGAGCUCUGAGCGCGCCGGCCACCACGCCGGCCACGGCGGCCACGGUGGCGGUCAUGUCGGCGGCAUGCCGGCGAGCAGUGACGCACAUCUGCCCAGGUAUGGCGCCGUGCCUGUUGCCGUAUCCCCACCCAAGGUGGUGCGCGUGCGCCGGCUCUUGUCGUGGGUGUAGUUGAAGUUGGUCAAGCUGUGAUGCAAGCGGGAUGCGAGCGAGAUCGCGAGCAUGCAAGCGCGAUGCCGCGAUGCCGCGAUGCGAGCAGGGAGACGGGAGACGACGCGCAGGGCGCAGGCAGUCGCAGAUGCAGUCGCAGGCAGUCGCUGGCUCUGGCAGGCUGGCAGGCGAGCCCAGAGCCCAGGCCACUCACCGUUCCGUCCCCCGGACAGGGAGCGAGCGAGCCUCCAGAUGAAAUUCCCAGGACAAUUUACGAGAACAUUCCAAUAAAAGAGCGCAAGAUAUCGACUAACAGUCAUGUCCUGAGCCCGGCUCCCGCGGCAGGGGUGUCGACGGGCGCCCCGCCGCCGCCUCCUCCACGC